Molecule: long non-coding RNA, 1423 nt
Organism: Anthonomus grandis grandis
Lineage: Eukaryota; Metazoa; Arthropoda; Insecta; Coleoptera; Curculionidae
Exons: 2
Source: RefSeq, a predicted model, not a curated record
UUUCACUCCAGUUUUCAUUGACGAGAUGUGGAUUUUUAGCAAGGGAUCAUUUCGUAGCUGGCAAGAUGACACCAAGCACACGGAUUUAAGGAAAAACAGUAAAGGGCCCUUUAACUUCAUAAUAAGAUAUCGUGGUCCACGCCGGAACCAAAGAUGGCUUCAUCAAGGGUGCAAAUUUAAUAUUCAAGAGUGGAUUAAAGACUGGAGAUUAUCAUGACAAUAUGAAUAGGAAAAUCUUCAAAAACUGGUUUAAAACUCAGCUAGUUCCAAAUCUUCCCCCAAAGUCAUUUAUAAUCAUGGACAAUGCAAGUUACCAUUCUGGUUUAUUAGAAGAAAUCGCGAGAAAAUCUUGGACAAAGCAGAGACUGACUGAAUGGUUGAAGAAAAAGAAUAUUGGCUUUCUAGAAAAAGCCAUGAAAGAUAAAAUAUGAAGUAUUGCACGCAGAAACUGCCCUAGUGAAAAAAAGUACUUGAUGAAUAUGUUAAACCUUUAGGACACAAAAUUUUGCGACUGCCACCAUAUCAUUGUCGGUUUAAUGCAAUUGAAAUGGUAUGGUCGGAAUGUAAACGAAAAUAUGAUCAAUAUAUUUCCAAUUUUAAGGGGUCACCUUCAGAAGUUCUGACUACAUGAGAAAGGGUAAUAAACGAAAUUUCUAUAGAUCAUUGGUAAAAAUAUGUUUUUCAUACAGAAAACGUAAUUGAAAAGGCUUGGGAGGCAAUACAAGUGUGUGAUGCCUAUGACAUUUUGCCACUUGUGAUUACGACUGACGAAGACGACGAUGACGAAGACAAUAUCUCUGAUUUCAGUUCUGACACUGACAAUACUGACGAGAUUGAUUAAGCUUUUUUUGUUCUAGCAAAUUUUAUUUUAUGAUCGUCGUUUAAGUAUUCAAUCAUAUCGUUGAAAUUUCAUUAACUUAGUAAUGAAAUAUGGCGUGUUUUUUUUGGGCUUGUAUGUUUUAUUUUUUGGAAUGGUAUUUUCAUUUUCAUGUGUUAACAUAUUCCUUCAAGCAGCAUUUUUUCAUGAACAAGUAAAUUAAAUUGUUAGUAUUUAAAUUUUUCCCAGUAAGUUAAAAUAAUUUUAUACCAAUAUUCAUAAUUUUUGUAAGCUCGGUUUUGUUACGUCUACUGCUCGUGCUGAAUUCUACUUUUCAAAUAUGUUGUAGAUUUGGUUUUUGCGGUUUUUUGCUUGGAAAAUAUAUAAGCAGCGUAAUCCUGAUCUGAUUUUAUCCCAUUCUUCUUUAUAUUUGCGAUCGUUGUUGUGCUCAAUUUUGUUGCAUCUGCGGCUCGCUCUAUCACAUUCUCAAUUUGAAGUGCAAUUCCGUUUCGGACUUGUUGUUUAUGUCCCAUUAUUUAUGAUUAAUUAUAAUAAUAUUUGUUAAUUGUUAAGUUUGUUAAUAAUACAAUAAAUACUACAAGAUUU